GAUGAAGAACGCAGUGAAAUGCGAUAAGUAAUGUGAAUUGCAGAAUUCAGUGAAUCAUCGAAUCUUUGAACGCACCUUGCACCCUUUGGCAUUCCGAAGGGUAUGCUCGUUUGAGUGUCAUUGUACUCUCACACUUCUGAUCCUUUGGAUUGGGAGCGGUGGACUUGGGUGUUGCUGCUUUACUGUGGCUCACCUCAAAUGCAUUCGUGCAACUCUUGGUUGGACAUAGUACGGCGUGAUAAGUAUCUUCGCCGGCACCUCGCAAGAGGGUGGCUGAUCAGGAGCUCUGUGCUUUCCAACUGUCUUCAGACAACAACUGACAACUUGACCUCAAAUCGAGUAGGACCACCCGCUGAACUUAAGCAUAUCAAUAAGCGGAGGA
This 382-nucleotide unclassified non-coding RNA is filed under the name soil metagenome. RNAcentral's name for it is "partial contains 5.8S ribosomal RNA, internal transcribed spacer 2, and large subunit ribosomal RNA". The stretch from base 1 to 120 matches the Rfam family "5.8S ribosomal RNA", at positions 35 to 154 of the family's 154-position model. The record is from RNAcentral.